This 400-nucleotide ribosomal RNA is filed under the name uncultured Glomeromycotina. RNAcentral's name for it is "SSU rRNA". It matches the Rfam family "Eukaryotic small subunit ribosomal RNA", at positions 569 to 972 of the family's 1831-position model. Lineage: Eukaryota; Fungi; Glomeromycota. The record is from RNAcentral.
AGCAGCCGCGGUAAAUUCCAGCUCCAAUAGCGUAUAUUAAAGUUGUUGCAGUUAAAAAGCUCGUAGUUGAAUUUCGGGAUCAAUACGUCGGUCGUGCCUUCGGUACGCACUGGCGUCGUUGAUUUCUCCCUUCUGAUGAACCAUGAUGUCAUUAAUUUGGUGUUGUGGGGAGUCAGGACUGUUACUUUGAAAAAAUUAGAGUGUUUAAAGCAGGCAAACGCUUGAAUACAUUAGCAUGGAAUAAUGAAAUAGGACGUUCGAACCUAUUUUGUUGGUUUCUAGGUACAACGUAAUGAUUAAUAGGGAUAGUUGGGGGCAUUAGUAUUCAAUUGUCAGAGGUGAAAUUCUUGGAUUUAUUGAAGACUAACUACUGCGAAAGCAUUUGCCAAGGAUGUUUUCA